This 1451-nucleotide long non-coding RNA is filed under the name Solanum tuberosum (potato). RNAcentral's name for it is "long non-coding RNA (STUB_LNC009966)". The record is from RNAcentral. Lineage: Eukaryota; Viridiplantae; Streptophyta; Magnoliopsida; Solanales; Solanaceae.
UUCAAUAUUGAAUGUGUUAGCUGUAUAAACCUGUUUUCUUCACUAUUUACUUGCAUUUUGGUUGUUUUUCUUUGUCGUUUUGAUAUGUUACAGUAUCUCUUCAUCAUGUUAGCUUAAUCUCUUAAGAGUUGUUUACAUAAUUCGAAUGAUGGUUAUGUCCCUCUUGUAUUUCAAUUUUGAUGUCUUUUUUUUUACGAAUUUUCCCCUCUUGUAUUUCAGUUUUGAUGUCUUUUUUUUUACGAAUUUUCCAUAGUCUCAUCUCGCUCGAUUUAGUGUCGUUCUUAUUUUUCUUUCAUUUGAAUGUGGUCAAGUCUAUCUCGAAUAUUGUCAACAUGUCUUCUCGCCAAGUUGUUUUGAGCUAAUCUUGUGUCUUUAGUGUUGUUCGUUUCAAAUCUCUUUGCUUGAAUGUUAGUUGGGUUACUUUAAAUUGUAGUAGAGCUUUCAAAGUGGAUAUUUAGACGACUUGUUUCCUCUUCUCCCUCGAAUAUUUCGAUUUCUCUUUAGCAUGAUCAAGUUUUGUUUAAAGUUUGUUGCAUAAUUAUUUGUGAUUAGCGGUGGUGCGGCCUUUUGAAGUUAUUAUUUUAGUGCACAGUUAUAAGUGAAAUCAAGCUCCUACUUAAUUAUUAUUUUUUUGAAAAUAAUGGGAUAUAUCCGGUUAAUCUCUGAACUUUCCAAAUGGGUUAUAGUUUGGUUUGUUGUUGAUUGUAUUGCUAAAUGUAUAGCGUGUGUCAUUUGAUAUUCUGCAAUUCCUUGCCUCUACUACAUUAUUCCCUCCCUUCCCUUGAUUUGUUGGAAUUCAUUUGGCUUAGUUUUUUAGCUACUCAUCUAUGCCUAAUUCCCUGGAAAUUGCAUUUGUGACCAAAUAAUUCUUAAGAUAGUAGCAUAGCACAUUUAUUUGUUUAUUGUUUUGAGCAUGAAUAUUGGUUAGAUCCCAUAGGAAUCUAAUUUUGAUCUCCCCAAAAGCAAUAGCUUCAUGUCAAAUUUAAUCCUCUAUUUUGUAAUAUGUGGUGUCUUUAGUUAGAUCUUUGUUGAUCAUCUUCUCUUCUUUUUUUUAUGUGUUCUUAUUGAGAUUAUCUUUGAUAAAAAAUGGUCACAUGUAUUGAGUUCUUGGCCUUAUUCUUGAUAUGCUAUUUGUUUAGGAGUUCUCUUACUUUAGUUUGAGUUUAGGUCUAGGAAAUUGUUAAAUGUUUCUUAUGUUUAUUAUUAUUUAAGGUUGGUUUUCCUUUUGCUAACUUAGUUUUGUCUUUCUUUUUUCUUGCCAUGAAAUUUGUCCGAGUUCUAACAUGAACUCCUAUCUCCUAUCCUUGCCUCUUGAGUUGUGUCGAAAUUCAAUAUUUCUCCUAUAUCGAGUCAUCCAGAAUAGCGGAACAGGCUGAAACGCAGUCCCAAAAAGCUGUAAACAGUUUGUAUACACGAAGUAUACAAUGAUAUACAUGUCAAUUGCAAAAAUA